This 146-nucleotide unclassified non-coding RNA is filed under the name soil metagenome. RNAcentral describes it as "partial internal transcribed spacer 1". The record is from RNAcentral.
CCGAGUUGACAAACUCCAUAAACCCUUGUGAACAUUACCCUAACUUAGUUGCUUCGGCGGCGCUUCCGGAAGGCCCGCCGGCGUUACACUAUAACUCUGUUUUUACCCUGACGAUCAUCUGAGUUUACUGUAGCGUAACUAAGUAA